UACGUAGGUGGCAAGCGUUGUCCGGAAUUAUUGGGCGUAAAGCGCGCGCAGGCGGCCUCUUUAGUCUGAUGUGAAAGCCCCCGGCUCAACCGGGGAGGGCCAUUGGAAACUGGGAGGCUUGAGUAUAGGAGAGAAGAGUGGAAUUCCACGUGUAGCGGUGAAAUGCGUAGAGAUGUGGAGGAACACCAGUGGCGAAGGCGACUCUUUGGCCUAUAACUGACGCUGAGGCGCGAAAGCGUGGGGAGCAAACAGG
Molecule: ribosomal RNA, 253 nt
Filed under: uncultured bacterium
Lineage: Bacteria
Description: partial 16S ribosomal RNA
Rfam family: Bacterial small subunit ribosomal RNA
Source: RNAcentral